This 492-nucleotide ribosomal RNA is filed under the name uncultured bacterium. Its description in RNAcentral is "partial 16S ribosomal RNA". It matches the Rfam family "Bacterial small subunit ribosomal RNA", at positions 29 to 507 of the family's 1533-position model. The record is from RNAcentral.
AGUGAACGCUGGCGGUAGGCCUAACACAUGCGAGUCGAACGGCAGCACAGUAAGAGCUUGCUCUUACGGGUGGCGAGUGGCGGACGGGUGAGGAAUACAUCGGAAUCUACUUUUUCGUGGGGGAUAACGUAGGGAAACUUACGCUAAUACCGCAUACGACCUACGGGUGAAAGCAGGGGAUCUUCGGACCUUGCGCGAUUGAAUGAGCCGAUGUCGGAUUAGCUAGUUGGCGGGGUAAAGGCCCUCCAAGGCGACGAUCCGUAGCUGGUCUGAGAGGAUGAUCAGCCACACUGGAACUGAGACACGGUCCAGACUCCUACGGGAGGCAGCAGUGGGGAAUAUUGGACAAUGGGCGCAAGCCUGAUCCAGCCAUACCGCGUGGGUGAAGAAGGCCUUCGGGUUGUAAAGCCCUUUUGUUGGGAAAGAAAAGCAGCAGGUUAAUACCCCGCUGUUCUGACGGUACCCAAAGAAUAAGCACCGGCUAACUUCGUG